UGAAAUACAAAUAAUCUAGGUAUCAAAUCUAUUCUGUACCAAUGUUAUUUAUCAGUCAGAUAGUCAAUCGGGAACUGAAUCGGGCGAUAUUGCCCAGUUCAGUUUGGUAUGAGGCUAUGAGCUGUGCCAUCUGGUGCCUAUAAUUUCUUUUAUUUAUAUAUUUGACAACAGUGAGUGGCAGUUGCCAUUUUUUUCUGUUUUUUGUAUUCUUUGGUUCUUGUGUUCUCUUUCUUUCUCAAGCACCUCUAUCACUUUCACAUGAUCUCUCUUUCUCUUUGUUGCCUUUGCUGCCUCCUCUUCCCCGCCAUAUAGCUGCUGCUGCCUCCUCUGUCUUGUGUUUCUGUUGUCUCCUCUUCUCAUCCAGAUUACUGUUUUCUUCUCUUAUUACUAUGUCUCUUCCUCCGCCUCCAUCUCCAUCUCUGCUCUAUUCAUUCUCCUCUGCAAGGCCUCAUCUUGCUCCUCUUCUUCUCCUCCUACCAUCUUCUCUCCCCCUUUCUGUUUGGUUCAUGCAAUACCAACACAUAUCAAGUGUCAACACAUUGGUUCAUACUCAAACCAUAUCAUUUCGGCCGCUCAUCUGUAUCAGCACCAGACUAAGAUUUUAAAUCUUGCAAAUAACUAUACACAUAUAUAAGAUAAGAUUUUACAGAGCAACAUAAAGUUCAUUUGAAAGAGGGAAGUUCAUUUGAGAGAG
This 694-nucleotide long non-coding RNA is filed under the name Musa acuminata (dwarf banana). RNAcentral describes it as "long non-coding RNA (MACU_LNC002159)". The record is from RNAcentral. Lineage: Eukaryota; Viridiplantae; Streptophyta; Magnoliopsida; Zingiberales; Musaceae.